AUCUCUUUUUUCUUCUUCUUCUUAUCCUU
RNAcentral lists this small RNA (29 nucleotides) under Arabidopsis thaliana (thale cress). Its description in RNAcentral is "ATSL225350". The record is from RNAcentral. Lineage: Eukaryota; Viridiplantae; Streptophyta; Magnoliopsida; Brassicales; Brassicaceae.